Molecule: ribosomal RNA, 406 nt
Filed under: uncultured bacterium
Lineage: Bacteria
Description: partial 16S ribosomal RNA
Rfam family: Bacterial small subunit ribosomal RNA
Source: RNAcentral
AUUGAACGCUGGCGGCAGGCCUAACACAUGCAAGUCGAACGAGUGGCGGACGGGUGAGUAAUGUCUGGGAAACUGCCUGAUGGAGGGGGAUAACUCCUGGAAACGGUAGCUAAUACCGCAUACCAUCGGAUGUGCCCAGAUGGGAUUAGCUAUUAGGUGGGGUAACGGCUCACCUAGGCGACGAUCCCUAGCUGGUCUGAGCGGAUGACCAGCCACACUGGAACUGAGACACGGUCCAGACGCCUACGGGAGGAAGCAGUGGGGAAUAUUGCACAAGGGGCGCAAGCCUGAUGCAGCCAGGCCGCGUGUAUGAAGAAGGCCUUCGGGUUGUAAAGUACUUUCAGCGGGGAGGCGUUACCCGCAGAAGAAGCACCGGCUAACGCCGUGCCAGCAGCCUCGGUAAUUC